Cephalotus follicularis is the source of this 107-nucleotide small nucleolar RNA. It matches the Rfam family "Plant small nucleolar RNA R71". Rfam says of the family: R71 is a member of the C/D box family of snoRNAs containing the C (UGAUGA) and D (CUGA) box motifs. Multiple nearly identical copies of this snoRNA have been identified in Arabidopsis, and it is thought to function as a 2'-O-ribose methylation guide for 18S ribosomal RNA. The record is from Rfam. NCBI's taxonomy places the organism in Eukaryota, Viridiplantae, Streptophyta, Magnoliopsida, Oxalidales, Cephalotaceae.
AAACCAUGAUGAGGACAAUCUCAGAGAAGAUCCUUAAAACGUUCCAUACACCUAGAAAAUGAUUCAUUAGGUUUUUGACGAAAAUGGAGAAUGUCGUUCCUAAGUUU